Molecule: long non-coding RNA, 1236 nt
Organism: Sebastes umbrosus (honeycomb rockfish)
Lineage: Eukaryota; Metazoa; Chordata; Actinopteri; Perciformes; Sebastidae
Exons: 7
Source: RefSeq, a predicted model, not a curated record
UUUUUUGCCUCCUAUUUUGUGUCCUCAUUCAGAGUUGACCAAUCAACCAAUGCAGAGAAAGAGGAGUAAACUCCUUUAACCCAAAUGAAAUCUUCUCACACAUCAUGUUUCCUUCACACUCAGCAGAUGAACUUGGUGGUCACUUUAACGUAGUGAUUCACACUGCAGGUUACUAAUAACUAGUGUGUGUGUGUAUGUUUGUGUCCCGCCUGUUGGCGUCCUGCAGGACAGAGGACAACUUUGCAGCCUUGGCGGCGUCUCUGAGCUUCCACUGAGUGAACAGUCCAGGUGGACCCGCCCGUCCCGUCCUGUGAGUGCCCACCAGGAUGAACACAUGCACCCCCUCCCUUCCUCCUCCUCCUCCUCGUCCUCCUCCACCUUGCCCAGUGCCAUCUUUGGGGGUGGAUAUAAAUAUCUGUGAAGGGACGAUGCCUUGUAACUCAUCCUCUGGUGGCCAUGUUGGAGGUCUUCAGCUCCAUGAACAGCUGUUAACAAGGGAUUAUGGGUACAAGGAGACAGAUGCAGUACAUCCAACCAUGAUACAAAAGGUAGCCGUCGCUUCAGCAGCAUCUCCCUGAGAAGUCUGAAGGUCAGCCCCAUAAAACCCUGCAGACAUUAGAGCUGAUGCUUUCCAUAUGGGAAGCGUCUUUGUAAGAAGCAUCUGUUCACAACUCGGCUGGACAGUGUCACCGUUCCUGCUCCAGUUUGAAACCCCGAGGACACUCGCAAACAUUCAGCCGACCACACAAACCUCCGUUGAGACACACGGGAGAGCAGAGAGCUGGAGAGAGAGACGAGAGCAUCAGCACUGAGAGACCAGGUGAAUUUGGAGGUGUCCGGGUCACAUAGGAGGCAAGGGCUGCUGGGACUGGAGACUCCCUCUGCGAAACACAUCCCGUCGAUGUUACACGUCUUCUCCUGGCAGCCAGAGACAGUAAAAAAAAAGGUCUGACCUGGGUCGUGGACGCUCAGAGCCAGAGGGACUCCACACUGGUGUCCGUGGUCGGGGCCGAAGCAGGGGAUGGGCACUGUGCUGUGGACGGUCACCUCGUGAUCUUUACUGUUCUCGGCUAUGUGGAGUGAGUCUGGAGAGAACUGAAGAGAAAGAGGGAACAAAGAGGCUUUGUCCAGCGUAGAAACCCUCACUUUCUUUUGGAGGAGAUCUGCUGUGGCUGGAGUUGACUCUGAAAGUCGACACACUGCAGGAGAACUGCAAGGAAAACAUCACACAUAUGC